UUAAGCGACUAAGCGUACACGGUGGAUGCCCUGGCAGUCAGAGGCGAUGAAGGACGUGCUAAUCUGCGAUAAGCGUCGGUGAGGUGAUAUGAACCGUUAUAACCGGCGAUUUCCGAAUGGGGAAACCCAGUGUGUUUCGACACACUAUCAUUAACUGAAUCCAUAGGUUAAUGAGGCGAACCGGGGGAACUGAAACAUCUAAGUACCCCGAGGAAAAGAAAUCAACCGAGAUUCCCCCAGUAGCGGCGAGCGAACGGGGAGGAGCCCAGAGCCUGAAUCAGUGUGUGUGUUAGUGGAAGCGUCUGGAAAGGCGCGCGAUACAGGGUGACAGCCCCGUACACAAAAAUGCACAUGCUGUGAGCUCGAUGAGUAGGGCGGGACACGUGGUAUCCUGUCUGAAUAUGGGGGGACCAUCCUCCAAGGCUAAAUACUCCUGACUGACCGAUAGUGAACCAGUACCGUGAGGGAAAGGCGAAAAGAACCCCGGCGAGGGGAGUGAAAAAGAACCUGAAACCGUGUACGUACAAGCAGUGGGAGCCUCUUAAUGGGGUGACUGCGUACCUUUUGUAUAAUGGGUCAGCGACUUAUAUUCUGUAGCAAGGUUAACCGAAUAGGGGAGCCGAAGGGAAACCGAGUCUUAACUGGGCGUUAAGUUGCAGGGUAUAGACCCGAAACCCGGUGAUCUAGCCAUGGGCAGGUUGAAGGUUGGGUAACACUAACUGGAGGACCGAACCGACUAAUGUUGAAAAAUUAGCGGAUGACUUGUGGCUGGGGGUGAAAGGCCAAUCAAACCGGGAGAUAGCUGGUUCUCCCCGAAAGCUAUUUAGGUAGCGCCUCGUGAAUUCAUCUCCGGGGGUAGAGCACUGUUUCGGCAAGGGGGUCAUCCCGACUUACCAACCCGAUGCAAACUGCGAAUACCGGAGAAUGUUAUCACGGGAGACACACGGCGGGUGCUAACGUCCGUCGUGAAGAGGGAAACAACCCAGACCGCCAGCUAAGGUCCCAAAGUCAUGGUUAAGUGGGAAACGAUGUGGGAAGGCCCAGACAGCCAGGAUGUUGGCUUAGAAGCAGCCAUCAUUUAAAGAAAGCGUAAUAGCUCACUGGUCGAGUCGGCCUGCGCGGAAGAUGUAACGGGGCUAAACCAUGCACCGAAGCUGCGGCAGCGACGCUUAUGCGUUGUUGGGUAGGGGAGCGUUCUGUAAGCCUGUGAAGGUGGCCUGUGAGGGUUGCUGGAGGUAUCAGAAGUGCGAAUGCUGACAUAAGUAACGAUAAAGCGGGUGAAAAGCCCGCUCGCCGGAAGACCAAGGGUUCCUGUCCAACGUUAAUCGGGGCAGGGUGAGUCGACCCCUAAGGCGAGGCCGAAAGGCGUAGUCGAUGGGAAACAGGUUAAUAUUCCUGUACUUGGUGUUACUGCGAAGGGGGGACGGAGAAGGCUAUGUUGGCCGGGCGACGGUUGUCCCGGUUUAAGCGUGUAGGCUGGUUUUCCAGGCAAAUCCGGAAAACCAAGGCUGAGGCGUGAUGACGAGGCACUACGGUGCUGAAGCGACAAAUGCCCUGCUUCCAGGAAAAGCCUCUAAGCAUCAGGUAACAUCAAAUCGUACCCCAAACCGACACAGGUGGUCAGGUAGAGAAUACCAAGGCGCUUGAGAGAACUCGGGUGAAGGAACUAGGCAAAAUGGUGCCGUAACUUCGGGAGAAGGCACGCUGAUAUGUAGGUGAAGCGACUUGCUCGUGGAGCUGAAAUCAGUCGAAGAUACCAGCUGGCUGCAACUGUUUAUUAAAAACACAGCACUGUGCAAACACGAAAGUGGACGUAUACGGUGUGACGCCUGCCCGGUGCCGGAAGGUUAAUUGAUGGGGUUAGCGGCAACGCGAAGCUCUUGAUCGAAGCCCCGGUAAACGGCGGCCGUAACUAUAACGGUCCUAAGGUAGCGAAAUUCCUUGUCGGGUAAGUUCCGACCUGCACGAAUGGCGUAAUGAUGGCCAGGCUGUCUCCACCCGAGACUCAGUGAAAUUGAACUCGCUGUGAAGAUGCAGUGUACCCGCGGCAAGACGGAAAGACCCCGUGAACCUUUACUAUAGCUUGACACUGAACAUUGAGCCUUGAUGUGUAGGAUAGGUGGGAGGCUUUGAAGUGUGGACGCCAGUCUGCAUGGAGCCGACCUUGAAAUACCACCCUUUAAUGUUUGAUGUUCUAACGUUGGCCCGUAAUCCGGGUUGCGGACAGUGUCUGGUGGGUAGUUUGACUGGGGCGGUCUCCUCCUAAAGAGUAACGGAGGAGCACGAAGGUUGGCUAAUCCUGGUCGGACAUCAGGAGGUUAGUGCAAUGGCAUAAGCCAGCUUGACUGCGAGCGUGACGGCGCGAGCAGGUGCGAAAGCAGGUCAUAGUGAUCCGGUGGUUCUGAAUGGAAGGGCCAUCGCUCAACGGAUAAAAGGUACUCCGGGGAUAACAGGCUGAUACCGCCCAAGAGUUCAUAUCGACGGCGGUGUUUGGCACCUCGAUGUCGGCUCAUCACAUCCUGGGGCUGAAGUAGGUCCCAAGGGUAUGGCUGUUCGCCAUUUAAAGUGGUACGCGAGCUGGGUUUAGAACGUCGUGAGACAGUUCGGUCCCUAUCUGCCGUGGGCGCUGGAGAACUGAGGGGGGCUGCUCCUAGUACGAGAGGACCGGAGUGGACGCAUCACUGGUGUUCGGGUUGUCAUGCCAAUGGCACUGCCCGGUAGCUAAAUGCGGAAGAGAUAAGUGCUGAAAGCAUCUAAGCACGAAACUUGCCCCGAGAUGAGUUCUCCCUGAGACUUAGAGUCUCCUGAAGGAACGUUGAAGACGACGACGUUGAUAGGCCGGGUGUGUAAGCGCAGCGAUGCGUUGAGCUAACCGGUACUAAUGAACCGUGAGGCUUAACCUU
Molecule: ribosomal RNA, 2903 nt
Filed under: Escherichia coli
Lineage: Bacteria; Pseudomonadati; Pseudomonadota; Gammaproteobacteria; Enterobacterales; Enterobacteriaceae
Description: bacterial LSU rRNA
Rfam family: Bacterial large subunit ribosomal RNA
Source: RNAcentral